RNAcentral lists this ribosomal RNA (103 nucleotides) under uncultured bacterium. Its description in RNAcentral is "partial 16S ribosomal RNA". It matches the Rfam family "Bacterial small subunit ribosomal RNA", at positions 1380 to 1482 of the family's 1533-position model. The record is from RNAcentral.
CUUGUACACACCGCCCGUCACACCAUGGGAGCGGGUUCUGCCAGAAGUAGUUAGCCUAACCGCAAGGAGGGCGAUAACCACGGCAGGGUUCGUGACUGGGGUG